Molecule: ribosomal RNA, 468 nt
Filed under: uncultured bacterium
Lineage: Bacteria
Description: partial 16S ribosomal RNA
Rfam family: Bacterial small subunit ribosomal RNA
Source: RNAcentral
GACGAACGCUGGCGGCGUGCUUAACACAUGCAAGUCGAACGGAAAGGCCUUGCUUUUGUGGGGUACUCGAGUGGCGAACGGGUGAGUAACACGUGGGUAACCUGCCCUUGACUUUGGGAUAACUUCAGUAAACUGGGGCUAAUACCGGAUAGGAGCUCCUGCUGCAUGGUGGGGGUUGGAAAGUUUGGGCGGAUGGGGAUGGACUCGCGGCUUAUCAGCUGGUAGGUGGGGUAGUGUCUGACCAAGUCUUUGACGGGUAGCCGGCCUGAGAGGGUGACCAGCCGCCUGAGGACGGAGAUGCGGCCCAGAAUCCUACGGGAGGCAGCAGUAGGGAAUAUUGCACAAUAGGCGGAGGCCGGAUGAAGGAACGCCGCGGGGGGGAUGUCGGCCUUCGGGGUGUAAACCGCUUUCGCCUGUGACGAAGCGGGAGUGACGGUAAUGGGUAAAGAAGCACCGGCUAACUACGUG